Long non-coding RNA from Notolabrus celidotus (New Zealand spotty), 270 nucleotides. RefSeq lists it as uncharacterized. NCBI's taxonomy places the organism in Eukaryota, Metazoa, Chordata, Actinopteri, Labriformes, Labridae. The record is from RefSeq and is a predicted model, not a curated record. The transcript has 3 exons.
CUCUCCUGUGUUGGUUCAUUUGUCUUCCAUACUGUUGUUUCCUGUGCCAGUGUUUCUUGUGUUUUCUUCUGUUGGACUUCUUCAUGUUUGUUUUUUCUGCUGGUCACCUCCAGUUUCAAGUGUUGCCUCUGAGGUGACAAAAUGUGGUUAAACUGUCAAAAAAAAAAAGACUCUGCAGCUACAACAAGCAAUGGAAACCAUAAGAGACAUUGGGUUGAACUGGUCAGCAGCGAUCCAACGAAAGCCUUCUGCAAUCCAUGCAUCCAUGGA